This 64-nucleotide transfer RNA is filed under the name Cichlidogyrus halli. RNAcentral describes it as "tRNA-Phe". Lineage: Eukaryota; Metazoa; Platyhelminthes; Monogenea; Dactylogyridea; Ancyrocephalidae. The record is from RNAcentral.
UUUUUUUUAGCUUAAAAUAGAGCGUUAGUUUGAAGCACUAGAGGUACUUUAAUAGUAGAAAAAU